UCCAGAUUGCUCAAUUGGUAAAGAAUCUGCCCGCAAUGCAGGAGACCCUGGUUCAAUUCCUGGGUCGGGAA
Molecule: non-coding RNA, 71 nt
Organism: Bos taurus (domestic cattle)
Lineage: Eukaryota; Metazoa; Chordata; Mammalia; Artiodactyla; Bovidae
Source: Rfam